RNAcentral lists this microRNA precursor (65 nucleotides) under Canis lupus familiaris (dog). RNAcentral's name for it is "Cfa-Mir-8-P2b_pre stem-loop". It matches the Rfam family "mir-8/mir-141/mir-200 microRNA precursor family", at positions 10 to 68 of the family's 72-position model. Rfam says of the family: The bounds of the precursors are predicted based on conservation and base pairing and are not generally known. Lineage: Eukaryota; Metazoa; Chordata; Mammalia; Carnivora; Canidae. The record is from RNAcentral.
CAUCUUCCAGUACAGUGUUGGAUGGUCUAGUCACGAAGCUCCUAACACUGUCUGGUAAAGAUGGC